Cicer arietinum (chickpea) is the source of this 8967-nucleotide RNA transcript. RefSeq lists it as uncharacterized. The record is from RefSeq and is a predicted model, not a curated record. Lineage: Eukaryota; Viridiplantae; Streptophyta; Magnoliopsida; Fabales; Fabaceae.
UCUCUCAAGAAAAGAAAGAAUGGGUUUCAACACGCAAGCACGGUGGUGGGUUCUUUCUUCUUCAACAAUCAAUCUCGUUGUUGAAUGCUACGUAGACGGGUUCUUUCUCCUUCUUGACUAUCCAAGAACCUUCAUUCUUGUUAAUUGUUAUAAAGAAUUGGACUGUGAUAUGAUUUCUCAUUCUUGAUUUUGACCGAAAUCAGAAGAUACUCGCGGAUAGUCGAAGGAAGUGGAACCGGGAACAUCACGUUGUAUUGUUUGGACUAAGUUCUGGUUUUAACGUGGAUGACCACACUGUUUCUCCUCGUCGCGUUUCUUUAAGACUCAACGGGAUUCCUAGGGUGCCAUUCUCUUCAUUUCUUUAAACAUCGAUAACAGGUUCAAUUCACUUUGAUCAACUUUUCGAUUGAACCAAUUUUUUUUACUUGUCUUUCAAUUUUGUUGCUUUCUAGCCCUUUCAUUUCCUUUGAUUUGCUUUGGUGAUGAUGUGAUUUAUGACUUACAUUUGGUGUGCAUGUUGUUGGGCUAUACAUAUUCCAACACAUUUUUCUCAUUCUUGAUUAUUCUAGAACUUUCAUCAUAUCAAAUCAUAUAUCAAAAGAGUAUACAAACCUUUUAAAUGGUUUAAUUGGUAUAAGUUGCCUCUGUGAGAUGAUUCUUGUGAGGUAUAGGAUGUCUCAACGACAACUAGGUGACCCUGAACGAAAUUGCAGUUUGAAUAUGAACUCUUUGUUCAUAACAUGUAUAAUAUACAAGAUGGUAUCUAUUAAGCUUUAAUGACUCUAGUCCCUAAUUGUUAUGUAAACUUUUUUUCAUAUUCAGAAGAAAGGAUGGUAUAUACCCUAAAUCUGACUGCAAGAUAAAUUUACUUUGUUAUAUGAUUUUUGUGAGGGGAUUGGUUGCCUUGAUGAUCGUAAAUUAAAAUUACAAGUUGUUAUCUAUUAAGCUUCAUUGACCUUUGUCUCUAAAUGAGAUGCAAUCUUUUUCAUAAUCUAAAAAAGGGUAGUGUUUAUGAGUUUGAUAGCCCAAAGUAGAGCAUCAAAAUGGAUAUACUUUGUUAUAGGAUUUUUGUGAGAGUUGGGAUGCCUUAAUGACCCUAAAUGAGAUUGAAUUAUAAACUUGUUAUUCACAAAUUAAUGUGAAAGUUGGAUGUCAACUUGGUUGCAAAUUCAUAUUUCAAAUAUGAAUUUUAUUCAUAAGGUAUCUAUUGAGCUUGGAUGACCUUUGACCCUAGAUGAGAUUAAAUCUUUUCUCAUUUAAAAGAUGUUUUUUUUUGUGAGUGCUAAGAAGUCUUGAUGACCCUAAAAGAAAUUACAUUAUGAACUAUUUAUUCUUAAUGUGGAAUCUAAAUGGUGCUUUAAUUACGAUUUCAAUUAUGAAUUUUUAUUUAUGAAGUAUGUCUAUUGAGUUUCGAUGACCCUAGUCCCUGAAUAAGAUGAAAUCUUUUUUCAUAAUAUGAAAAAUAUGAUUUGUGUGAGAGCCGAGAUGCCUCGAUGACCUUAAAUAAAAUUACAUGCAUUAAAUGCAAUUUUAAUUAUGAUUUUUUAUUCGUAAGGUAUCUAUUGAGCUUCAAUGACCCUUGUCCCUAACUGAGAUGAAAUAUUUUUUCAUAAUCUGAAAACUUUGAUUUUUGUCGGAGUUUAGAUGCCUCGAUGACCCUAAAUGAAAUUGCAUUAUAAACUCUUUAUUCAUAAUGUGAAGGCUGGAUGAUGAAUUAAAUGCAAUUUCUACAAUGAAUUUUUAUUCAUAAAGUAUCUAUUGGGCUUCAAUGACCUUAGUCCUUAAUGAGAUCAAAUCAUUUUUCAAUAAUCUAAAAUAAAUAUGUUUUUUGUGAGAGUUGGGAUGCAACCCUAAAUGAAAUUACAUUAUGAACUCUUCAUAAUUUGAUAGUUGGAUGACGCCUUAAAUGCAAUUUACAUUAUGAAUUUUUAUUCAUAAGAAAUUAAGCGUCCAUGACCCUAAAUGAAAUUGCAUUGUAAACUCUUUAUUCACAAUGUGAAGGCUGGAUGAUGAAUUAAAUGCAAUUUCAGCGAUGAAUUUUUAUUCAUAAGGUAUCUAUUGGACUUCAAUGACCCUAGUCCCUAAAUGAAAUCAAUUCUUUUUUCAAUAAUCUAAAAUAAAUAUGUUUUUUGUGAGAGUCGGGAUGCUUCGAUGACCCUAAAUGAAAUUAUAUUAUGAACUCUUCAUAAUUUGAUAGUUGAAUGACGCCUUAAAUGCAAUUUACAUUAUGAAUUUUUAUUCAUAAGAAAUUAAGCGUCCAUGACCCUAAAUGAAAUUGCAUUAUAACCUCUUUAUUCAUAAUGUGAAGGCUGGAUGAUGAAUUAAAUGCAAUUUCAGCGAUGAAUUUUUAUUCAUAAGGUCUAUUGGACUUUAAUGACCCUAGUCCCUAAAUGAGAUCAACUCUUUUUUCAAUAAUCUAAAAUAAAUAUGUUUUUUGUGAGAGUCGGGAUGCUUCGAUGACCCUAAAUGAAAUUACAUUAUGAAAUCUUCAUAAUUUGAUGGUUGGAUGACUCCUUAAAAGGAAUUUACAUUAUGAAUUUUUAUUCAUAAGAAAUUAAACGUCGUAGACUCUAGUCCCUAAAUGAGGUGAUUUCUUUUAUGGUUUGAUAAAAGGUUGGUUGCCUUGAUGACUAUAAAUUAAACUGCACUAUGUAAGAGAUGUAUCUAUUAAGUUUCAUUGACCUUUGUCCCUAAAUGAUAUUUUUUUCAUAUUCAGGAGAAAUAGUGGUAUAUACUCAAAGUCAGACUACAAGAUAAAUUUACUUUGUUAUAUGAUUUUUGUGAGGGAUUGGAUGCCUUGAUGAUGGUAAAUUAAAAUUACAAGAUAUUGUCUAUUAAGCUUCAUUGACCUUUGUCCCUAAUGAGAUGCAAUCUUUUUCAUAAUUUUAAAAAGGCAGUGUUUAUGAGUUUGAUAGCCCUAAGUAGAGCAUCAAGAUGGAUAUACUUUGUUAUAGGAUUUUUGUGAGAGUUGGGAUGCCUUAAUGACCCUAAAUGAGAUUGAAUUAUAAACUUGUUAUUCACAAUGUGAAAGUUGGAUGUCAACUUGGUUGCAAAUUCAUAUUUCAAAUAUGAAUUUUAUUCAUAAGGUAUCUAUUGAGCUUGAAUGACCUUUGACCCUAAAUGAGAUGAAAUCUUUUCUCAUUUAAAAGAUGUUUUUUUUUUUUUGUGAGUGCUAAGAAGUUUUGAUGACCCUAAAUGAAAUUAUAUUAUGAACUAUUUAUUCUUAAUGUGGAAUCUAAAUGGUGCUUUAAUUACGAUUUCAAUUAGGAAUUUUUAUUUAUAAAGUAUGUCUAUUGAGUUUCGAUGACCCUAGUACCUAAAUAAGAGGAAAUCUUUUUUCAUAAUAUGAAAAAUACGAUUUGUGUGAGAGCCGAGAUGCCUCGAUGACCUUAAAUAAAAUUACAUGCAUUAAAUGCAAUUUUAAUUAUGAAUUUUUAUUCGUAAGGUAUCUAUUGAGUUUCAAUGACCCUUGUCCCUAAAUGAGAUGAAAUAUUUUUUCAUAAUCUGAAAACUUUAAUUUUUGUCGGAGUUUAGAUGCCUCGAUGACCCUAAAUGAAAUUGCAUUAUAAACUCUUUAUUCAUAAUGUGAAGGCUGGAUGAUGAAUUAAAUGUAAUUUCUGCAAUGAAUUUUUAUUCAUAAAGUAUUUAUUGGGCUUCAAUGACCCUAGUCCUUUAAUGAGAUCAAAUCUUUUUUCAAUAAUCUAAAACAAAUAUGUUUUUUGUGAGAGUUGAGUUGCGACCUUAAAUGAAAUUACAUUAUGAACUCUUCAUAAUUUGAUAGUUGGAUGACGCUUUAAAUGCAAUUUACAUUAUGAAUUUUUAUUCAUAAGAAAUUAAGCGUCCAUGACCUUAAAUGAAAUUGCAUUGUAAACUCUUUAUUCACAAUGUGAAGGCUGAAUGAUGAAUUAAAUGCAAUUUUAGCAAUGAAUUUUUAUUCAUAAGGUAUCUAUUAGACUUCAAUGACCCUAGUCCCUAAAUGAAAUCAAUUCUUUUUUCAAUAAUCUAAAAUAAAUAUGUUUUUUGUGAGAGUUGGGAUGCUUCGAUGACCCUAAAUGAAAUUACAUUAUGAACUCUUCAUAAUUUGAUAGUUGGAUGGCGCCUUAAAUGCAAUUUACAUUAUGAUUUUUUAUUCAUAAGAAAUUAGGCGUCCAUGACUCUAAAUGAAAUUGCAUUAUAACCUCUUUGUUCAUAAUGUGAAGGCUGGAUGAUGAAUUAAAUGCAAUUUCAGCGACGAAUUUUUAUUCAUAAGGUAUCUAUUAAACUUCAAUGACCCUAAUCCCUAAAUGAGAUCAACUCUUUUUUCAAUAAUCUAAAAUAAAUAUGUUUUUUUAUGAGAGUCAGGAUGCUUCGAUGACCCUAAAUGAAAUUACAUUAUGAACUCUUCAUAAUUUGAUGGUUGGAUGACGCCUUAAAUGAAAUUUACAUUAUAAGUUUUUAUUCAUAAGAAAUUAAGCGUCCAAGACCCUAAAUAAAAUUGCAUUAUAACCUCUUUAUUCAUAAUGUGAAGGCUGUGUGAUGAAUUAAAUGCAAUUUCAGCCAUGAAUUUUUAUUCAUAAGGUAUCUAUUGGACUUCAAUGACCCUAGUCCCUAAAUGAGAUGAACUCUUUUUUCAAUAAUCUAAAAUAAAUAUGUUUUUUGUGAUAGUCGGGAUGCUUCGAUGAUCCUAAAUGAAAUUACAUUAUGAAUUAUUCAUAAUUUGAUAGUUGGAUGAUGCCUUAAAUGCAAUUUACAUUAUGAAUUUUUAUUCAUAAGAAAUUAAGGCAUUUAAGGCAUCAUUUAGGAUAAUUCAUAAUGUAAUUUCAUUUAGGGGGUAUAUUACGAAUUGAAUGCAUAAUGCGAUAUCUUUUCUCCUUAUCUCAAAAGGGGGUAUAUAUGAUUCUAAUAAUCCCAAGUUGGAUUGCAAUAUAAGUAUACUGAUAUAUGAAUUUUGUGAGGGGUUAGAUAUUGGGAAGAUCCUAAAUUUAAUUUUAUGAGGAGCUAUCUUUCAAAAUCUAAGGCCAGACAUUCAUAAUGUACAAAAUGAUUUUAGUGAGCUUUGAUGACUCCUCAAAUGAGAUGUUUUUUUUCUUCAUAAUAUGAAAAAGGAGGUGGUAUCUAUGAACCUAAUAAUCCAAAGUUGGACCACAAGAUGAUGUUUAUUGAGUUUUGAUUACUCUAGUCCCUAAAUUAUAUGAUUUUUUUCUUAAAUAUUAAAAGGAAGUUGUAUAUUUUGAACCUUAAUAGCCUAAAGUUGCAGCAUAAGAUGGAUAUACUAUACUUUUCAGUUUUCAUUAUGAAUUAUUUAUUCAUAAUGUGAAAGAUGGUGUCUAUUGAGCUUCAAUUACCUUAGUUCCCAUGCGGUAUGAAGUGACCUUGGAAAUGCAAUAUUAUGAAGUGUAUGCCUGUCUUGGAUUAGCCUACUACUUGUGUCGAUCUGCUUGCAUGAUAAAGAUCAACGAUGGUUUCACUAUUGAUCUUUAUAGUUAAGCACAAGGAUUUGAAAUCAUAUGAUUACACUAUUUUGUUGUCAAAUGGUGCUGAAAAUCUUGCAAUCUGGAGGUAUUCUCAUCAUUCUCAUUUCUUAAUUUCGUUGGAGGUAUUUGGUCUUCUAUUGCAAUUUUAGUGUGUGUAAAUAUUAUUCUCUAUUGUUGCAUGCAUUAAAGAUUUGAAGUUAAGACAUCCAAGACUUGUUUGUAGUAUUAUUUUAAUCAAUUUAUCACAUUAUAAGAUGUAUACUUGUUGUAUGUGAUGAACAAGAAAAUGGAACCAAGUCCAACUUGAAACAAAAACAAUGAAACUUCAGGUGUAGAAUCUCGUGUAGUGAUGUAUUGAAUUUGUACAGAAUUUGCUGCUACAAAGUCACAUAGUGCUGGUCUGUCAAUUUUAGCGGGCUUAAUAAUAGUUUGGCUUUAGAUUCCAUUAGAAUAAGUCACGACAAUGAUAUACAAUGAAGAGUAAUGGGAAAACUAAAGUUUGAUGGUUACAUUCAUGUAGUGUGUUUCUUGAAGAUGGCCAUAGUAACAUUUUUAUUAGGGGGUACAUAUGAGCCUUAUAGCCCCAAGUUCCAUUGCAAGAUGGAUAUAUUCUGUUCCAUAGUUUUGUAAGGGAUGAGAUGUUUCAAUGACCCUAAAGGAAAUUACAUUAUGAACUCUCUAUUCAUAAUGUGAAAGUGGAUGAAGGCCUUGAAUUCAAUUUUGAAUAUAAAUUUUUAUUGACAAUGUAAGGGGUGAUUGUGUUUUUAUGACCCUGAAUACAAUUUUGGAGUAUGCAAAUCCUUUAAGGUUGUUACUGUAAGAUAAAAUCCUUUUUCAUAAUCUGAAAAGUGGGUGUUAUAUUUUAUAAUUUAUGACCCCGAAUUCGACUCCAAGAUGAUAUACUUUGUUCCAUGCAAAGAUGGAAUGUCUUGAUGACCCCAAAGUAAACUACGGUAUGACCUCUUUAUUCAUAAUGUGAAAGUUGGAUGAUGCCCUAAAUGCAAUUUUUUAACAUGAAUUUGUAUUAAUAAUGUACAGGAUGGUACCUAUUAGUGGAGGUGGCAUAAUAAACAUGAUAAUGGCUUUUAAGCUUUUUAAAAUUCUCAUUUAAGAAUUUGUAAUGGUAAGCAUUUUUUCCUCAAUCUGGAUAACAUGGAUCUUGAUUGAAGAUGCUGAAAAUAAAGGUUACAUUUACACCUAGAUGGAAGGUUAGUUAAGUUACAUUACAUAUCUAGUGUUUCUUCAUGGGGUCGUGAAGGUAUUAGGUCUAUAUAGUAGUAAAGUCAUGCACUUCUAUGCAUGACUUUCAUAUGGAAAAUUGUGUUAUUCAAAUUUCAUUACUACAUGCAUAUGUGGCUUUAUUGCUUUUUUCCACUAUGGGAAUCACUCGUCAUAGUAAUGCACAUGUCACUACUAGAAUUUUGAAUAACUACAUGGCCAUCUACUUAUAAUUUAAAGUAAUAAUCUUCUCAUUUCAUUGUCAUAUUCUUUGCUUCAGUAUUUAAUUCCAUUCUUUGAUGAUUUGUGUUGUGUUUCAAUUUGUCUGCUUUGUUAUUAAUGUUUUUAUUCCAUAACAAUUCGUUGUUUGAAUUGAAAGCUAUUCAGCCAACAUUUAAUCCAUUCUUUGCAGCUACAUAUAUAUCAGUUGUGUCUAAUUUUCUGCUCAUUUAUAUGUGCAUGAUUGUAUGCAGAAAAGUUCCUCCUUUUUCCUCCAUAGCAGAAUCAAUUUGUGUAGGAAUUAUGAAAUUGAAUAUCUAUCACAAUCCAGCAACACGUGUACCAACUAAGGAAGCAUUCAAAUUAUCUCUUCAAAGGUGGUAUCACACAUUAUCUUCCAUCCACCUGCACCAUUCAUUUUCCCAUUCAACUAUAUACUUUUGGUUUAGAGAAGUACUCACCUAUUACAACCAGCAUGAGGAUUGUACUGAAACCAUUGGUUGGUUGAUAUCUAUAGUUUUACUUAAACAUUUUGGUUUGAUGUAAAACUUGUCAAUGUAUGUUUACUUGUUGGUGUUGGAGAACAGGACUUGAAUCUAAGGUGAAUCAUCUGACAUAUUAUUGCAGAUGUGCAUCAUAGUACCUUCUUUAUGAAAAGAUCUCAAGGAUACAUGGAAGGACUUGAAUCUAAGGUGAAUCAUCUGACAUAUUAUUGCAGAUGUGCAUCAUAGUACCUUCUUUAUGAAAAGAUCUCAAGGAUACAUGGAAGAUAUUGAAAGUUCAAUUGUUGUGCCGAGACAUGAUACCUUCCCGAAGUAUCCUUAUUUCUAGAAUAACUACUAUUUCUGGAAGAGUAAGAUGCAGUUGUUCCUAAAAUCACAAGACACACGCAUGUGGUGCAUCAUUACAGAUGGGAACUUCAUACCAAGAAUUGACCAAAACGACUCAAGAUUUUCUGAAAAAAAAGAAACAUAUUGGACAACAAAAGACAAAAUUAAGGUACUUCUAAACUCUAAAGCUUAAUUAUUUUUAUCAUGUGCCUUAAGUAAGGAAGAAAGUGAAAGAGUCGAUGAAUGUGAUACGACAAAAAGGGUAUAAGACACACUACAAACUCAUCAUGAAGGGACAAAUCAUGUCAUAGAGACAAGAAUUGAUAUCUUCAUACAAAAGUUUGAACUUUUUGAAAUGAACGAAGGAGAAACUAUUGAUGAAAUGUAUUUAAGAUUUACAACUAUAGUAAAUGAAAUGUGUUAUCUAGGCAAAACAUACUUAGUACAAGACAGAGUAAGAAAAAUCAUGAGAUGCUUUCCAAUCAUAUGAGACCAACAAUGACAACCAUAGGUCAAGUUAAGAAUCUUGAGAUACCCGGAUUAGAAGAACUCAUUGGAACCUUAUGAACACAUGAAAUGCUACUGCAAGAGGACAAACCAACAAAUAAAGGUAAAAUAAUAGCCAUCAAAGCAUCUCAAAAUCCUCAAGAAAACAUACCCUAAAAACCAGAUGAAAGAGAAGACUUAGAAGAAAUUGGACAAAAAGAUGUUAAUGAAGAAAUAGUUAUGCUUACAAGAAAAAUCCAAAGCAUGAUGAGGAGAAGAUAUCAAAUCAAGAAAAGCUUUCCAAAUAAAAAAGUAAAUUUUAAAGCAGAAGUAGAUAAAAGUCAGAUUACAUGUUUUGGGUGCAACAAACUAGAACAUUACAAAACUGAAUGUCCCUUAAAUAAAUGGGCACAAAAAAGAUUCCCAUUCAAGAAAAAAUCCAUGAUGGUUACUAGCGAUGAUUAUGAUGAAUCAGAAACAGAAGAGACUGAAGAGGCCAACAUAUGUUUAAUGGCAAACUAAGAAGACAAUGAGGUGAUAAAUUCUGAACUAUGUUCUUUAUGCGAACAAAUGAAAAAAGAGUUUGGUAACCUGAUAAACGAUUCAAAUUUUCUUGUUAAAAAAUGUAGUUCUUUAAAAGAACAAGUUUACAAAGAAAAAAGAGAAAGCUCAAGCUAUGAUUGAUGAACUAAAAAGUAUCAUUCAAAGUGUCAAGAAUUAGAGUAAAAAUAUAUUUCUUGAAUGAAUUAUAUUGGUAAUAC